UACUAAUAAUAACUAAGGAUGUUCAAAAAUGGCCUGUCAAGCUGAAUGUAAGACUAAAAGGUCAUCAGAAUACAGGAUCACAGGUACUCUUUUUUGGUUUUACACUCAAUAGGAUUGCUUAGGAUAUGAUCCUAUGCAUCUAUCAACAUGCAUGUCCUUUGCCUAACUGGAACAUGUUGGAAACUAAGUGGUUACUCAUAAGGAUUUUCCAAGGAGUACAGAGGAAAAUAACGGCAGAAAUAAAGUUCUCACUUCUGUGGUUUUAAUAAGAACCUGAAAUAAGGACACGUGUACACUAAACCCCAGAGAAAGUAUUGCUAGUAACUUAAAGGCCGCAUGGACUACCUGGCCCCAGUCAGCUCGUGGAGGUUUCCAGGGCCAAGUGUGAACCACUAGAGGGCUCACAAUGUGUUUAGAGGGUUAGU
This 425-nucleotide long non-coding RNA is filed under the name Coturnix japonica (Japanese quail). RNAcentral describes it as "lncRNA (ENSCJPG00005008977.1)". Lineage: Eukaryota; Metazoa; Chordata; Aves; Galliformes; Phasianidae. The record is from RNAcentral.